ACAGCAGUAGCCGCGGGAAUACGAGGGGGGCAAGCGUUGUUCGGAAUUAUUGGGCGUAAAGGGUGCGUAGGCGGUUUGAUAAGUCUUGUGUGAAAUCUCUGGGCUUAACCCAGAGUCUGCACAGGAAACUGUCGGGCUUGAGAGUGGGAGAGGUGAGUGGAAUUUCCGGUGUAGCGGUGAAAUGCGUAGAUAUCGGAAGGAACACCUGUGGCGAAAGCGGCUCACUGGACCAUUUCUGACGCUGUUGCACGAAAGCUAGGGGAGCAAACAGGAUUAGAUACCCGCGUAGUCCCUGUCUCUUAUAA
Molecule: ribosomal RNA, 305 nt
Filed under: uncultured bacterium
Lineage: Bacteria
Description: partial 16S ribosomal RNA
Rfam family: Bacterial small subunit ribosomal RNA
Source: RNAcentral